Molecule: long non-coding RNA, 467 nt
Filed under: Musa acuminata (dwarf banana)
Lineage: Eukaryota; Viridiplantae; Streptophyta; Magnoliopsida; Zingiberales; Musaceae
Description: long non-coding RNA (MACU_LNC002686)
Source: RNAcentral
UCGUGAUUUGUUCCAGACACAAGGAAUUCUCACUGUAUCCGAUUCAAGGCAGAUGAGAGAGGAAGCAACUCGCUGCUGCAUCAUGUGCACAUUGCUGCUCCUACAACAGCAUUUUUCUCACAUUUUCUAUGCAUGAGCCAAAUUGUUUCCAGAAUCAAAAUAGAAUAGAUAAGAAGUCAACCAGAAGCUUAACUGGAAAAAAAUAAUUGAAUGGCAUACUUUUAUUAUUUCAACAACCCAUUGCAUCUUUCUAGUUCCUCCAUCUUAGUAUUUGAGCUGUAGCAAUGAGUCCAAAACCGGGUUUGCCCCUCAAAAAGUUAGGUGCCUCUUCCCGGUGUGCAAAUCUCAAACUGCCACAAAAGAACUCUGAAUCUAGAAAAUAACAGAACUACUAACCAAACGGAACCUUCAUUUAUGGCUGCAAGGAACGACAAUAAUUGUUUCUCCUCCUAGUAAUCUUGUUCUCU